Hemicordylus capensis (graceful crag lizard) is the source of this 516-nucleotide long non-coding RNA. RefSeq lists it as uncharacterized. NCBI's taxonomy places the organism in Eukaryota, Metazoa, Chordata, Lepidosauria, Squamata, Cordylidae. The record is from RefSeq and is a predicted model, not a curated record. The transcript has 2 exons.
UGUUUUUCCAUUUUUUUCUUGGAAGCCCCACUCAGAAAUGUGACAGUCUCUCCUUGCAAAGAAGGCUGGGUAUGACCCAGGAAGAGGGUUCAUACAUUCUGGAACCUCCACUGGUGAAGCUGGGUGGGCAGCAGCAGGUGUGUUUGCAAGAUAUGAAAAGUGACAUUGCAGGAUGAAAUUUCUUGCACCUGCACAGGACACAAUGCUAUAUUUGAAGUUCUUACACCAGCUCAACUGCCACAUGUUUUCAGGAGCAUCAGGGAAGAAGUAAAACACACUGUAGUGUGAUUAUCUCCCUUGAGCACUAUCACAAAAAACCCAAACAAACCUUUGUAUUGCCAGUUAUGACAUGUUUUGAAGUCUGAAUAUCAGCUUGAUCUCUGAACUUAUUUUUAAGGGGAAAGGGAUGAAAAGUGCAAAAUAUAUUGUAAUGUAGCAUUUUAUGUGAAACUUCUCAAACAUUACGAUUUGUUGAUAUCAGUAGAUUGAGAGUAAUAUAUUUCAAAAAUUUGCCUA